AAGUCGUAACAAGGUUUCCGUAGGUGAACCUGCGGAAGGAUCAUUAACACGUAUCCAACGUUAAAAGCACCCCUGUGAACCCGUUAAUCUUGCUCCUCACGCCCUGCACGCCUAGCAAUCCCUGGUAAAUCAUUGUCUGAACAGAUUUGAAUGGUAAUGACACUCCAUCUGCGUGGGAUGUUUGCGACGUAGCAAAUCACUUGGCUCCCCAAGCAACCAUGUGACAAAAAGCGGCUCAUGGAAGCGUAAGGAGACGCUGUAACGUUUUGCUGUAGGCCCACACGGCCGGCAAUCCAAGUGGUUGUACUUCGGUACCCCUACAUCGGUACACCCCCGAUGAAAUGUCAAUUUCGCGAAUGGACUAAAGCUUCGCACCAAAAGCCGAACAACUGUUAACAAUGGAUAUCUUGGUUCUC
This 416-nucleotide unclassified non-coding RNA is filed under the name fungal sp. RNAcentral's name for it is "partial internal transcribed spacer region". The stretch from base 1 to 46 matches the Rfam family "Eukaryotic small subunit ribosomal RNA", at positions 1786 to 1831 of the family's 1831-position model. Lineage: Eukaryota; Fungi. The record is from RNAcentral.